GCGUCGGUGUAUAUGAUUCUCACAACUUUUUGCCGGACGACGGUCAAAGACUGGCCGGAGGGGGUGAGUGAUCUCCGGUCGUCUAUGGCCUUGUUUGUGGUAACAACAUGUUCUGAAAACUUGACUCUUUGUCGAGAAUACAUUGGAGAUUGAGGGCUGAUGCCUAUUUCCAUGAACUAUGCAGGGAAAUCUUCUUCCCGAGCAUCAAGAAGAAAAGGGAUUGGUUGGUUUUGCUAUCAAAAGAAUAUAAGAAAGCAGGAGAGCAAAACCACUGGGAGGAAAGG
Molecule: long non-coding RNA, 284 nt
Filed under: Coffea arabica (coffee)
Lineage: Eukaryota; Viridiplantae; Streptophyta; Magnoliopsida; Gentianales; Rubiaceae
Description: long non-coding RNA (CARA_LNC000779)
Source: RNAcentral